UACGGAGGGAGCUAGCGUUAUUCGGAAUUACUGGGCGUAAAGCGCACGUAGGCGGCUUUGUAAGUUAGAGGUGAAAGCCUGGAGCUCAACUCCAGAAUUGCCUUUAAGACUGCAUCGCUUGAAUCCAGGAGAGGUGAGUGGAAUUCCGAGUGUAGAGGUGAAAUUCGUAGAUAUUCGGAAGAACACCAGUGGCGAAGGCGGCUCACUGGACUGGUACUGACGCUGAGGUGCGAAAGCGUGGGGAGCAAACAGG
RNAcentral lists this ribosomal RNA (253 nucleotides) under uncultured bacterium. Its description in RNAcentral is "partial 16S ribosomal RNA". It matches the Rfam family "Bacterial small subunit ribosomal RNA", at positions 524 to 776 of the family's 1533-position model. The record is from RNAcentral.